UUUUUUUUUUUUUACGACUUUUAAAAUUCUCCAUCUUCAAAGCUUGCAACAGUUUUUUUGAAAUCUUUAAAAAACGUUUGAAUUGAGGUGUCAUUCAUUUACAAUGUUGCGCUAGUUUCAGAUUCUUUUCCAUUAUAGGUUAUUACAAGAUGCAGUGCAGCAUCCUGUGCUAUAAGUAGGUCCUUGCUGCUUACCUCCUUUAUAUACAGUAGUAUGUAUCCAUUGGUCCCAAACUCCCAAUGUACCUGCCUAUCAUCCCCCUCCUCCCCUCUUCCCUGCUAUCUGCUUCAUCCUCUGAUGAGUCAAAUUUAAUUCCAGCCAAUGUUUUCUGCAUGCUCCUUCCGAAGUUCUCAGGAAGCUGUACAGAAGCAUUUUAUCGCCUCCGUUGGACCAAAUCCUUCGCAGGCGAGCGCAGACCUGGGUCUUCCCGCCUUUCGCAAACAGGGCAGUGUUCCUGGGAACAUGCUCGUUUCCCCUCACGUGUCCAAGUGCCCCGUUGGCAGUGCUCUUCUGCCUCGAAACGCCAUCGCAGUGAGGUCCAACUUGGAGGCCACCAGAAGUCAGAGAGCUCCCUAAAGAGGUCGGAUGCAUCACACUUCUCAAAACUAAAGCUAUUUCAGAUCUUCAGACUUCCUUCAGGAAAAAAAAUCCACUGGAAUGAUUGUGAGAGUGGUGGGGUGGGUUUGACUUGUUUCGUUCAUGCUACAUCACCAGCAUCUAGACAGUGCUGGGAAAAUUUAACAAUUCAAUAAAAAAUCUGUUUAAUAAACUAUUGUUUUUAAAUAACUUUUAUUGGAUAAAUAUACAUGUCUCACAAAUCUAAAUAUGUUUACAUAUGUUUUUAAAUGUGCACGAAAGCAUAUGACACGGAAGACCACAUGGACAACUGUUAACAAUCAUUAGCUUAACAGGCUUAGAGGAAACAAGCUUAGUGGGUCCAUAUUUUUUCCUUCUCUACAAGGAGAAAGAGAAGAUCAAUUUUGAGGACCUUAACUAAAAAUUCAAAAUUCCUCCAGGGCCAGAACUAGAUGACUCGAUCUAUUUCUUCCUUUUUUUUUUUUUUUUUUUUUUUUUUUUUUUUUUNNNNNNNUUUUUUGUCUUUUUAGGGCUGCACCCAUGGCAUAUGGAGGUUCCCAGAAAUGGCAAAAAGACAAAAAAAAAAAAAAGAAAGAAAGAAAGAAGUGUUUCUGGGAAAGGUGAGAUUUUUGCAGUAAUGGUCAGUUCAGCUUGUGUGUGCUCUCAAUCCUUUCCUGGUAAAAGAAAGAACCCGAGUAGGUGCCCUCAGUGAGAGGCCUCAGGGUUAGAAAGCAGUUAACGCCCCCACGAGCAGAGGCAGUGUCCUUUCGGUAAUGCACACGAAUAAGACAGAGCAGACAGCAGUAAGCGUUUACAGCCAAAGAGUAGUGGUCACUCUGACAAAUAACUCAGGGAGCAGACAGCGCAAGCAGAACGGUCUACACCCGGAGUCCCAGGAUGAGCAGCCAAACUCAGUUCAUCAGCACCAAAGUGAUCCCCUAAGCCUGGUCUCCCGAGCUGCUGCCUCUCUUGGGUGAAGACGGCGCCUCCGAUGACAGAUAAGGGGAGUUAGACAAGCCGUACCCCUAAAGCCUCGAUAAUCUAGGAACUGCGACAGUCCAUUGGCGAGCAUCCCCUGCGAGCAACCACUGCGGCAUCAGUAAGAUGGGGGAGCUUACCGAGCAGGGCUGCCUACAAAAUUUAAAGAGCCUGGUGCAAAACGAAAACGCAGAGCCUUCUGUUCAAAAUUAUUACACGUUUCCGAUGGGGAGAGGAGAGCAUUAAACCAAGUGUGGCCCCUUGUGAGCCCGGAGUCCUGUGUGACCAAGUCUCAUGCCUAUAAUGUUGACUCUCCCAUGAACGAUGGCUCCCUCGCCAGACAGGUGAUAAAUUCUAGUUUAAUUAUAGUUUAAGGAGGAGGUGGGUGAGGGAAAGAGGAAGAUGGGGGCGUUCUAGUCAGACUAUUGUAAAUAACAGAAUUCCUCCGAUGACGCAUGUGCUGCAUGAAA
RNAcentral lists this long non-coding RNA (2024 nucleotides) under Sus scrofa (pig). Its description in RNAcentral is "lncRNA (ENSSSCG00060068624.1)". Lineage: Eukaryota; Metazoa; Chordata; Mammalia; Artiodactyla; Suidae. The record is from RNAcentral.